This 253-nucleotide ribosomal RNA is filed under the name uncultured bacterium. RNAcentral describes it as "partial 16S ribosomal RNA". It matches the Rfam family "Bacterial small subunit ribosomal RNA", at positions 524 to 776 of the family's 1533-position model. The record is from RNAcentral.
GACGAGGGGUCCUAGCGUUGUUCGGAAUCACUGGGCGUAAAGCGUAUGUAGGCGGCCUUUCAAGUCAGGUGUGAAAUCCCAUGGCUUAACCAUGGAACUGCAUUUGAAACUGUAAGGCUUGAGUAUUGGAGAGGAUGGUAGAAUUCCUGGUGUAGUGGUGAAAUACGUAGAUAUCAGGAGGAAUACCGGUGGCGAAGGCGGCCAUCUGGCCAAAUACUGACGCUGAGAUACGAAAGUGUGGGGAUCAAACAGG